GAUGAACGCUGGCGGCGUGCCUAACACAUGCAAGUCGAGCGAACGGACGAGAAGCUUGCUUUUCUGAUGUUAGCGGCGGACGUGUGAGUAACACGUGUAUAACCUACCUAUAAGUCUGGGAUCACUUCGGGAAACCGGAGCUAAUACCGGAUAAUAUUUUGAACCGCAUGGUUCAAAGGUGAAUUACGGCCUUGCUGUCUCUAAUCGCUGCUUCCGCGCUGCAUUAGCUAGUUGGUAAGGUAACGGCUUACCAAGGCAACGAUGCAUAGCCGACCUGAGAGGGUGAUCGGCCACACUGGAACUGAGACACGGUCCAGACUCCUACGGGAGGCAGCAGUAGGGAAUCUUCGGCAAUGGGCGAAAGCCUGACGGAGCAACGCCGCGUGAGUGAUGAAGGUCUUCGGAUCGUAAAACUCUGUUAUUAGGGAAGAACAGAUGUGUAAGUAAAUGAGGAGAUAUUGACGGUACCUGAUCAGAAAGCCACGGCUAACUACGUG
This 497-nucleotide ribosomal RNA is filed under the name uncultured bacterium. RNAcentral's name for it is "partial 16S ribosomal RNA". It matches the Rfam family "Bacterial small subunit ribosomal RNA", at positions 28 to 507 of the family's 1533-position model. The record is from RNAcentral.